AGUGGCGAACGGGUGAGUAAUGCAUCGGAACGUGCCCAGUCGUGGGGGAUAACGCAGCGAAAGCUGUGCUAAUACCGCAUACGAUCUAUGGAUGAAAGCGGGGGACCGUAAGGCCUCGCGCGAUUGGAGCGGCCGAUGUCAGAUUAGGUAGUUGGUGGGGUAAAGGCUCACCAAGCCAACGAUCUGUAGCUGGUCUGAGAGGACGACCAGCCACACUGGGACUGAGACACGGCCCAGACUCCUACGGGAGGCAGCAGUGGGGAAUUUUGGACAAUGGGCGCAAGCCUGAUCCAGCAAUGCCGCGUGCAGGAAGAAGGCCUUCGGGUUGUAAACUGCUUUUGUACGGAACGAAACGGUCUGGGUUAAUACCCUGGGCUAAUGACGGUACCGUAAGAAUAAGCACCGGCUAGCUACGUGCCAGCAGCCGCGGUAAUACGUAGGGUGCAAGCGUUAAUCGGAAUUACUGGGCGUAAAGCGUGCGCAGGCGGUUUUGUAAGACAGGCGUGAAAUCCCCGGGCUCAACCUGGGAAUUGCGCUUGUGACUGCAAAGCUGGAGUGCGGCAGAGGGGGAUGGAAUUCCGCGUGUAGCAGUGAAAUGCGUAGAUAUGCGGAGGAACACCGAUGGCGAAGGCAAUCCCCAGGGCCUGCACUGACGCUCAUGCACGAAAGCGUGGGAGCAAACAGGAUUAGAUACCCUGGU
This 700-nucleotide ribosomal RNA is filed under the name uncultured bacterium. Its description in RNAcentral is "bacterial SSU rRNA". It matches the Rfam family "Bacterial small subunit ribosomal RNA", at positions 94 to 791 of the family's 1533-position model. The record is from RNAcentral.